AGCGAAUCUCAAAAAGACCGUCCCAGUUCGGAUUGCAGGCUGCAACCCGCCUGCAUGAAGUUGGAAUCGCUAGUAAUCGCGGAUCAGCGUGCCGCGGUGAAUACGUUCCCGGGCCUUGUACACACCGCCCGUCACACCAUGAGAGUCGGGAACACCCGAAGUCCGUAGCCUAACCGCAAGGGGGGCGCGGCCGAAGGUGGGUUCGAUAAUUGGGGUGAAGUCGUAACAAGGUACC
RNAcentral lists this ribosomal RNA (235 nucleotides) under uncultured bacterium. Its description in RNAcentral is "partial 16S ribosomal RNA". It matches the Rfam family "Bacterial small subunit ribosomal RNA", at positions 1266 to 1500 of the family's 1533-position model. The record is from RNAcentral.